This 390-nucleotide ribosomal RNA is filed under the name uncultured bacterium. Its description in RNAcentral is "bacterial SSU rRNA". It matches the Rfam family "Bacterial small subunit ribosomal RNA", at positions 402 to 809 of the family's 1533-position model. The record is from RNAcentral.
UGAGUGAUGAAGGCCCUAGGGUUGUAAAGCUCUUUCGACGGGGACGAUAAUGACGGUACCCGUAGAAGAAGCCCCGGCUAACUUCGUGCCAGCAGCCGCGGUAAUACGUAGGGGGCGAGCGUUGUCCGGAAUUAUUGGGCGUAAAGCGCGCGUAGGCGGCCGGUUAAGUCCUGUGUGAAAGACCACGGCUCAACCGUGGGGGUGCACGGGAAACUGGCCGGCUUGAGUGCAGGAGAGGGGAGCGGAAUUCCCGGUGUAGCGGUGGAAUGCGUAGAGAUCGGGAGGAACACCAGUGGCGAAGGCGGCUCCCUGGCCUGUAACUGACGCUGAGGCGCGAAAGCGUGGGGAGCGAACAGGAUUAGAUACCCUGGUAGUCCACGCCGUAAACGA